GUUUUAAUAGUUUAUUAAAAACAUUGGUCUUGUAAAUCAAAAAAAAGAUUUUUCUUUUAAAACU
RNAcentral lists this transfer RNA (64 nucleotides) under Micromus sp. YW-2016. RNAcentral describes it as "tRNA-Thr". Lineage: Eukaryota; Metazoa; Arthropoda; Insecta; Neuroptera; Hemerobiidae. The record is from RNAcentral.